This 253-nucleotide ribosomal RNA is filed under the name uncultured bacterium. RNAcentral's name for it is "partial 16S ribosomal RNA". It matches the Rfam family "Bacterial small subunit ribosomal RNA", at positions 524 to 776 of the family's 1533-position model. The record is from RNAcentral.
UACGUAGGGGGCUAGCGUUGUUCGGAAUUACUGGGCGUAAAGCGCACGUAGGCGGCUUUGUAAGUUAGAGGUGAAAGCCCGGAGCUCAACUCCGGAAUUGCCUUUAAGACUGCAUCGCUAGAAUUGUGGAGAGGUGAGUGGAAUUCCGAGUGUAGAGGUGAAAUUCGUAGAUAUUCGGAAGAACACCAGUGGCGAAGGCGACUCACUGGACACAUAUUGACGCUGAGGUGCGAAAGCGUGGGGAGCAAACAGG